RNAcentral lists this ribosomal RNA (497 nucleotides) under uncultured bacterium. RNAcentral's name for it is "partial 16S ribosomal RNA". It matches the Rfam family "Bacterial small subunit ribosomal RNA", at positions 28 to 507 of the family's 1533-position model. The record is from RNAcentral.
GAUGAACGCUGGCGGCGUGCCUAAUACAUGCAAGUCGAGCGAACAGACGAGGAGCUUGCUCCUCUGACGUUAGCGGCGGACGGGUGAGUAACACGUGGAUAACCUACCUAUAAGACUGGGAUAACUUCGGGAAACCGGAGCUAAUACCGGAUAAUAUAUUGAACCGCAUGGUUCAAUAGUGAAAGACGGUUUUGCUGUCACUUAUAGAUGGAUCCGCGCCGCAUUAGCUAGUUGGUAAGGUAACGGCUUACCAAGGCAACGAUGCGUAGCCGACCUGAGAGGGUGAUCCGCCACCCCGGAACUGAGACACGGUCCAGACUCCUACGGGAGGCAGCAGUAGGGAAUCUUCCGCAAUGGGCGAAAGCCUGACGGAGCAACGCCGCGUGAGUGAUGAAGGUCUUCGGAUCGUAAAACUCUGUUAUUAGGGAAGAACAAAUGUGUAAGUAACUAUGCACGUCUUGACGGUACCUAAUCAGAAAGCCACGGCUAACUACGUG